CCGAAAUCCCAACCGCAAGUCCGUGAUGGCACCUAACGUCCACUUACUUGGCAAGCCAACUUAGUACAUAACAAAUCAUUUUUAAACUAAUUCAAAAGCAAUUUAAUAAGAAAUAAAGCUGUAAAAAUUCAAAAUAGAUAUAAUACCUUCAAACGCUGACUAAUCAAAUUUCAAAAUCUGGUGUCACAAGUACAUGAGCAUAGUAGAAGUGCUACAACCAAUGUCUGAAUGAAAAUACAAUUAUUUGAAACAAAAUAAACUGUAAAACUAGAUUAAAAAAAGGGGACUUCAGGGACUACAAUCGCCAUGCAGCUCUACCUAGAGUCUCCAUGAAAAGCUUAUCCGACUGAGUCUCCUCUAACUGAUGCUGGGACCAACACCAGAAUUUGCAUAAGAAGUACAGAAGUGUAGUAUGAGUACAACCGACCCCAUAUACUCCAUAAGUACCGAGUGUGACGAUCUGGUCAGUUGUCUCAUGAGUUACCGCUCCAUUUUCUCUAUUUCUUCUUCUUUAUGCUUUGUUUAUCCGUGUUAUGUGGUAUCGGGUGGGUCAGAUCGAAUCCGGAAUGAUUUUGGUAAGAUUUGAGACACUUAGUCUCUUUUGAGGAAGCUUAAGUUGGAAAAGUCAACUGGAUGUUGACUUAUAUGUUAGAGGGCUCAGAUGUGAGUUCUGAUGGUUUGGAUAGCUUCGGGAGAUGAUUUGGGACUUAGAAGCGCGAUCGGGAUAAGUUUUGAAGGUUCAGAGUAGAUUUAGGCUUGAAUUGGCGAAGUUGAUAUUUUGGCGAUUUCCGGUUGGUAGGCGAGAUUUUGAUAUAGGGGUCGGAAUGGAUUUUCGAGAGUUGCAAAAGCUCCAUUGUGUCAUUUGGGAUGUGUGUGCAAAAUUUUAGGUCAUUCAGACGUGGUUUGGUUGGGUUUUUGAUCGAAAACAUAAUUUAAGAGUUUUUGGAGUUCUUAGGCUUGAAUCCUAUGUUAAAUUGGUGUUUUGAUGUUGUUGUUAGCAUUCCAAAGAUUUAAACAAGUUUGAAUGAUGUCAUGGGAUGUGUUGGUACAUUUGGUUUGAAGCCCCGGGGGCUCGGGUGAGUUUCGGGUAGGUUCUGGGAUGUUUUAGGCCAAAAACAUAGUUGUUGCAGGUUCAGAGAGGUUGCAAACACUAGUGCGGUCCACAAAGGAUUUUGUGCGGCCGCGGUGGGGGCUUUGCAGCCACACUCAAUUUUGUCCGGUCCGCGGUGAGAAAGGUUUCACUGGUCUGACUUCGGAAGCUUAUAUCUUUUGAUCUAGAAGGAAUUUGAUGAUCAUUCAAAAACAAAAAUUGUAGAGCUUUGAAUCUAGUUUUGAGAAACAUAUUAUAAUAGCCAUUUGGAAAUCUGUAGCGAAGGUUAUGGCCGAAAUACCAAAGCCGGUCACUGCAGUCAAAUCCACCGCGGUCAGCACUGGUUUUUGUGCGGUCAGCGGUGCUCCACCGCGGUCCACACUUGAUUUUGUGCGGUCAGUAGUGGUAGAAAUCCGGGAGGUGCUCUAUAAAUACGAGGUUUAGGGUUUUAUUUUAUAUUUUGACCUAGAGAGCUCGAAUUUUGGCGAUUUUUCGAAGGUUUUUGAAGAAAUUCAUCGGGGUAAGUGAUUCUAAUUCAGAUUUGGCUAGAGUACAUGAAUCUAUCAUUGAAUUCAUCAUUUGAUUCAUUAUUUGGGAUGAAAUUUGGGAAGAAAAUCUGUGAAACCUUUCAAAAAUGUAAAAUGAUGAUUUGAAGGACCAAAUGGUAUCGGAAUUGGAUAUUUUUGAGUGGGCUUUGUUCCCUUAAUAUAUUUUGAUGGUUUUGUACUGAUUUAGGUUAGAUUUGGAGCAUCCGGAGGCCGAUUAGAGAGGCAAGGGCAUCACAGGAUAGAGUUCGAACUGCAUAGAGGUAAGUAAUGAUUGUAAAUGUUGUCCCGAGGGUAUGAAACCUUGAAUUUCAUAUCGUUGUGCUACUUUGAGGUGACACACACGCUAGAUGACGAGCGUGGGGUGUGCACCAUUGGGUAUUUUGACUUAGUCCGUCCAGUAUGACUUUUAAAUCGCGUAUUUGAUUGAAAACUAUUUGAUAUCAUUGUGUUUUGGAAAGUAUUAUCAUGUUUUGGACUGAAUGCCAUAUUUGGGCCUUGUGCCAACUGUUUUGGACCCUUAGGGGAUUUUUACUACUAUUCCUCACUGUUUUGACUUCAUAUUUGUACUCAGUCAUGUUGUAUUCUACUGUUUUCAUAACUCAGCCAUAUUUACUCCGUUUUGAUAUUUUAAAUGAUAUUUUGGGUUGAGCAUCAUGUUUUACUAUUGCCCGAGUGGCAUGAGAGAUUUCUGAUAGAGUGAGGCCGAGGGCUUGUGUUGUGAGGAUAUUAUGGGAUCGGGCUGCGCGCCGUAGCAAUGUUAUAUUAAUUCAUGAUUUUGAGGCCGAGGGCCUGAUUUGUUACGCCACGAGGUGGCUUGUUGAUAUGAGGCCGAGAGCCUAUUUGAUUAUGCCACAAGAAGGCUUGUUAUUGCGCUUGGGCCGUAAGGGGCCCCUCCAGGAAUCUGUACACCCCCAGUGAGCGCGGGUACCCAGUGAGAGUGAUAUGAUGUAGCCCGAUGGAUUGUUGUUGUUUCAUGUUAUUACCCGAGGGGCGGUUCUUUAUUCAUGUUAUGCCCGAGCAGCUGAUUACGAGUGAUUGUGAGGUAGUCCAAAAGGUUGGUUCUGUUCAUAUUAUGCCCGAGGGGCGGUUUAUGAUACAUGUUUUGCCCGAGGGAUUGUUUAUGUUUCUACCCUUUUCUCACUAUUUUCAUCACUCGUUUGAAACUAUUGAAAGAUGUUUUAAAAGGAAAUAGUUUUAUUGAAACUGAGUUAUUUUACGAGAAAAUGGUUUCUGUACUGUUUUUGAGAAAUAUACAGUAUUUGUUGUAGUGCUAUGAUGGAAAAUUAUGUGUUUUCUUUCUGCUCAGCUUUCAUUUACUUUUAUUACUUUUUGAGUUGGCGUACUCACAUUACUCCCUGCACCAUGUGUGCAGAUCCAGCAGUUGCGGGUCACGAUAGUGAGCAUUUAUUGUCCAUUCAGCAGGAUUUCGGAGUCGACAAGGCAGCUGCAUGGCGUUCGCAGCCCUGUUCUUCUCCCUCCUAUCUUCCCUAGCUUUAGUUAGUAUGGUCUUCCAGUCUUGUUUAGACUUUAUUGAAUUGAGACAGAGAUGUAGUUUCUCAUGACUUGUGACACCCCGAUGUCGGGCUUGUAUGUUUGUUCUGCACUGGUUAUUUAGACAUAUACUAUAAGAUUUCUUGUUGAUUAAUGGCAUAAAAAUGAGUGUUAUAGAAAAAUGGUUAGAUUUAGGAAUUGUGUCGGCUGACCUGGUUCCACGAUAGGCGCUAUCAUGACCGGAUCAGUUUUAGGGUCGUCACACCGAGUCUAACCUCGACGAAGUAGUAACAAGGCUAUAACAAGGCACUCACUAUAAACCUGUACGAAUAUAAAUGAAAUAAUAGCAGGAAUAGAGAAAGUAAGAAUUUAACAUAAAAUCGGAACUGAAAAGCAUAACAGAGGGCCCUAAAAUAACACUUGUACUCAACUUCUGAAUUCAACACGGAUACAGUAACAACAAUUAAACAUAAUAAAAUAUAUCUUCUCUGUUGCAGCGUGCAACCCGAUCCACAAAUAUAUAUACAUGACAAAUCUUUUAUGUUGAGGCGCGCAAUAUAUAUAUAUAUAUUCAUUACAGUGUGCAAUCCGAUCCCACACAAUAAUAUCAAUAAUUAUUGCAGUGAGCAACUGGAUCCGACACAAUAAUAAUAUAAAUGGACAACCUUAACCAACUAUGACGUAUCUCAAAUAAAACACAAUAAGAUAAUUAAAGAACUAAACAAGGUUAUAAAACAAGUAAAAGCAGUUAAUAAAUAAAGACAUGGAUACAUGAAAACAAUUAGCAACUUAAGGCACGCAAUGGAUAAAAAGGCAUAAAUUUAACAAGUAAGGGCAAGUAACAAUUAGAGCAUUUAAUAAGUAAUAACAUGGAAUAAAUGAAAAUAAAAAAUGAUUGAAGACAAUAAAUAAAUAUCCCAGCCCCAGUGCUUCACCCGUAACUAUGCAUAUACACUCGUCACUUUGCAUAUACGCCUUCCCCACAUAUAAAUCAAGUAACAAUUAACCAGUCAAGUUCUAAUUCUCUCAAGUCAAGGUUAACUACGGCACUUACCUUUUCCUGCAACCAAAUCAAUGAUCAACCACGACUUUUUCUUAGAAUUAGCCUGCAAACCAAUCAAAUCUAGCCAAAUAUAGUUUAAAUAAUUCAAAAUAAGCUUUAGAAACUACCUACGAGUGAAAAAGAUUCAAUCUUUAAUGAAAUAAAAAAAAGUCAACAAAAGUUAACCCCGGGUCGGCUUGGUUAAAACUCGAGAUUCGGACCAAAGCCCGAUUACCCAUUCACCCCAAGCCCGUUAUGCAAUUUAUUUCAAAAUCCAACCUCAAUUUUAUAAAUUUUUUAAUUUCUACCAAAAACCCCUAAUUUCUACCAUGAAGUUCAUAGAUUAACGUUAAAAAUCAAUAGGUGAUUAUCGAAAUACAUCAAAAAUAGUUAAAAAUCACUAACCAAUGAAGUUGGGAUGAUAAUCUCCUUAAAAUCCUCUCUAGUCCGAGCUCUAGCUUUCAAAAAUGGCAUUGAAUGAAUAAAUUCCGACUUUCAGCUAUUAAAAUAACUAGGCGUCAGGUGUUCUUUGCGUUCACUAAGCACCCGCCAUGUUCGCGAAGUAUGGCCCAAUUUCCUUCGCGGUCGCAAAGUCUACAUCGCGUUUGCGAAGGCUUAUUAUCCAAUCUGCCUUCGUAUUCGUGUCCCCAAGGUCCGUGUUCACGAUGACGACCCCUACCAUCCCCCCAGGUCAUCCCCAAAGCUUCACGUUCGUGAGUGGCAAACCGUGUUCGCGAAGGGUAAUGCACCGUAUACUUCGCGUUCACGAAAAGUAACCACCCCUAGCCCAAAAUUUCCCCUUUGCGAUCAUGGUAGAGGCUUCACGAUCGCGAUAGAGGCUUCGCGAUCGCGAAGCACUGGACACCAGAAGCAAAAACCAGCAGUUCCAACAAGUUCAAAAAUAGUCCGAAAUAAAUCUAAAACUCACGCAAACCACUCGGCUCCAAACCGAACAUGCACACAAGUGUAAUAACAUCAUAUAAACUUGCUCGCUACCUCAAAUUAUCAAAAUAACAUCAAAUAAUGAGAAUUGAUCAUCAAAACUCAAGUUUUCAACUUGAAAACUCAUUUUUAAAAUCUUUCACAUAAUGUGCCAAAACGCGCUUGGGUCGUCCCGGACCCUAACCAAACGUGAGUACAACUCCAAAAAUAUCAUACAAACCUAUCAGAAUUUUCAAUACACCGAUCCAAGGUCGUUUACUAAGAAAGUUGACGUGGUCAACUCAAGUUAUUUUUAAAGCCAAAAUCACAUUUUCUUUUAAAUUAACGUAAAAGCUUUUCGAAAAAUGAUACAAACCAUGUACACAAGUCAUAUAACAUCUAAUGAAGCUAUGGGAGGUUUUGAAACACAAAAAUAAGGGUUAGUAUCCAAAACAACCUAUCGGAUCGUCACAUGCUCUUAAAAACCUAGGGGUCCAUUAGGUUUCUUGGUGGCUACUCUACCCGAAACCUUAACGUGGAGGCUACUCCAUCCAAAUCCCUACCUCACAUUUAUAAAAGGAGUCACAUAUUCACUUCGAAAGUAUCUCAAAAAUUUCAUAAACUCACGAAAUACUCACAAAAAGAUCAAGAAGAGGCACGAUACUUCUGACAAUCAAAUAGUUCAAGAAGAUCCACAACAUCCUUGCAUGGAGAUCAAAUACAUUUUACCUUCGAGAAAUAUGCUGCUCCAACCCUCGAGUCACAAAGAUAAUCAGGCCAGAAGAAUCAAGAGAACAAACAGAAUUGUAUCCAUAUUAUUUAUCAAUAAAAUUAUAUUUUUUCAUAUUUAUAUUAUGAUUGCAGUUUAUGAGUUGUCACACCUCCGUUUUCCCGAGGGGAUAAAGAAUUUUUUCAAUUAAAGUGACAUUAUCAAAAUGAGAUUAUUUAAUUAAUCAGAGUAGCCACUUGGAAUAAUUUAUGGUGUCUCAAUUCACCAGUUCAUUUAAAAUCCCAAAUCGAGGAAGUUUUGACCCUAUUUUUACAGUCUGCAAAAUACAAAAAAUCGGGUAAGGAACUUUGUUAACCUAGGAGAAGGUGUGAGACACACCCGAAUUUCGUGGUUUUAGCACGCUUGCUCAACUGUUAAUAAUUGACCUAAUUAUCUGAUUAAUUACGUGUUUAAAAUAUUUUAUGCAUUUUUUACUUUCUAACUUUUACUUAUUUUAAAUUUGUUUGAACAAGUCACGAUUGUCGCGCACUCGUUUGUUUUGUACAUAUCGCAAACCACGUCACAGGAACCGUACCCACGAUCUACAACAUGCUUAUUUUUAUUACUAUUCGAAGUUAUGGUCGGGUCACAUGAAAUACACACCCGAAUUUGGAUUUAUGUAUCGUAACUAUGCCACGAGAACCGUACCCACAGUCACGAGAAUUUAUUUAUGCGCCUAAAAAUUUUCUACCCAAGUUAAUGGCCUAAACAUGCUCGUAGCGAUUUGAAUAAAAAUAUAAAAUCAAUUAAAGAUAUCUAAAUCCAAAUUAUCCUUCACAUUUUAUGUCCAGACCCUCGACCUAAGGAACCAUGAUAAAACAAAAAAAUAAAUCAAGACGUUCGUAAGUUCAAGUCCCUACGGUCCAAUUCUCAUUAAUUCAUGAUGAUUCCCCAAUGAACCAAUACUUGUCUCAAAUAAUAAAUUAACGCCCACCUAAUUGAAUUUAAUUAUAGAAAAGGACAGAUGAUUUGUAUUAGUAGUUAAAAUGACAAUUAUUUACUAAUUGGAUGAAANNNNNNNNNNNNNNNNNNNNNNNNNUAUCUCCUUCUAGUGACUGAAUCUCAACAAGCAAUUAUCAAACAUUCAAGCUAAUCACAACAUAUGUCAAUUAGUUCAUAUAUCCUCAACAAUCAUAUAUUUGAUUAAAAAAAAUAUAAUAACAGAGAAGGGAUUAGAAUGGACUUUUAGUCGAGAUUUCUUCUCCGAUUAAAUGACAGAAUCUUAAAAAUCAUAUAGAUAUGCUCUAUUUGAAAAGUGCAAAAUAAGAAUAUCCAGCGACGGACUUUAGAUAAAAAAUGAACUGAAAUUCCCAAAAUUGAACCGCACCAGAACCUUUGACCGCACCACCUCGACAAUCUUUAUUUUAGAACCACAGACGGUAUCUCCAAUCUUGAGACGAAACUUAAUUGUUUCCUCUAGUUUUUCAAUUUUUAUCGAUUCCUUCCUAUGUGUGUGUCUCUUUUUUUUAGAAGUAUUUGAUUUGGGAAAUUGGGGGUGGCAGAGGUGUGUCCCUUUGGUGGGGUGCGGCUGCUACUUUUUUUUUUUUUUUUUUUUUAUCUUUUGGGAUUGUAGGAAUUAGGUUAGGUUUCUAUAAUUAAGGAUUUUAUAUGGAGGUGGCAAGGGAUGAUAACCAUUGGAUUAGAAGGAAAUAGAUAGCUAAAAUUAAAUCUUGCAUUUUAAGUGGAGAGUGGGCUAAUGGGUUGGGAAGAAUGGGCCGAAGACAUAGUUUGAUUAUCCUUUAGUUCUUUCGAGAGUGGAGAUAUUGGUGCCGGCGCUACAUUACGUACCACGAACACUUCCCUUGCCGCGUGUUGUUCUAAAUAGUUUUAUGUCAAAAUUUUUAUCAUUUGGUGGAGGGUGGAUGGUGCUGCUCUCAUGUAGUGUAUCCUUGGUCGCCUGGAUAAGGCGUUGUAUUUCAUGUCUUCUUCAAUGACAUGGAAUUUGACAUUUCGGGUCAUGCCAACCAUGCUGACUGGGAGAGUGAUCUCUCCUUUCGUUGUUUCGAUCGCCGUGUUGAAUCCGUUAAGGACUCAAGAGGCGGGCAUGAUUUAGUCUAGCAGUUCGAUCUGCUCUAUUACCCUUGACCUGGUAAUGUUGGCCGAGCUACCUGGAUCCACGAGCACAUGUUUUAUUCGAAAUGAAUUAACGAGGAAAGAGGUUAUCGGAGUGCCGUUAUGAGGUUGGGACGAGGUUUUGGAUUCCUCCUCGCUGAAUACGAGGGCAUCUUUGGGUACGUAUCCCCGAGUUUGCUUUUCUCUGGUGAUGGAUAUUUUUGUCCUUCUCAUCACGGGUUCCUGGGGAGUGCCGAACCCCCCCCCCCCCCCCCCAAAUAUCAUGUGUAUAACAUGUUGUGGCUCAUUUGCUUUGUUCUUCUUGGCCGUGCGUAUUAUGUAGUUCACAUACUAAGUUGUGAUUCCUCUGGGAAGGAUUCGAUUGUAUAGGCCUGGGCCACUUGGCAUCUCUGAUUUUACUGAUGGCGAACAUGAUAUCCAAUACAUCGAUGUUGAAGUUGUAUUCCGACAAGUGAGGUGCACCCAUUGGCCCUGCGUUCUUAUCAAAUCUGGCUCUGUUGAUGAGUCCUCGAGGAUCCUGUCCUCGAUCUAUUCUCUGAUCAUUGCGAGGUAGGUUGAGCCUCGGGGCAUUCCUCCUAUCUUUGGGGUACGACAAGACCUCUCUUUGUUCGGUUUCGACUCCUUUGCCAGGAGUCUGCUCAGAUAUACUGAGCCCGAGAGGUCUCCCAUCUGGUCAUCCUCGACCCUGAUCUUUGACUGAUAAUGAUUGUGGACGUCCGGCCAGGUUACGGAGGGAUACUCGAUCAGAUUCUCUUUCAGCUGCCUUGAGGCAACUGAGCUUCGUUCAUUCAGGCCUUGAGUGAAGGCCUGUACCGCUCAGUCGUCGGAGACCAGGGGUAGUUCCAUUCGUUCCAUUUGGAAGCGAGAUACGAAUUCUCGCAGCAUAUCAUUCUCCCUCUACUUAAUCUUGAAUACGUCGGACUUCCUUGUUGCUACUUUGAUGGCACCGACGUGUGCCUUUAUGAAGGAGUCUUCCAGCAUGGCAAAUAAGUCUAUGGAGUUGGGAGCUAGGUUGUGAUACCACAUCAUGGUCCCCUUCAAGAGCGUUUCUCCGAACUUCUUCAAUAAGACGGACUCGAUCUCAUCGUCUUUUAUGUUGUUGCCCUUUACUGCGCACGUAUAUGCAGUAACGGGUUCAUUGAGGUCUGAGAUACCGUUGUACUUUGGGAGUUCCGGCAUUCUGUACUUCUUUGGAAUGGGUUUCGAAUCCGCUUCCUCUAGGAACGGCCAUUGCACAAACUUCUUUGAAUCUACAUCUUUCAGGACCGGGGGUGCGCCCGAGAUUUGGUCGACCCAGAAGUUAUAGGUUUCGAUCUUCUUAUAGUUGGCUGCUAUCAUUUUCUCGCCCGACUUGAUCAUUUUGGCGAGGUCCUCGAGCAUUUUUACGAUGGUAGGAUCGGCUACCGAUCCGUUGUUGCUCGAGCUCUCCGGUACCUGUUUGGAGGGGGAGUAGCAUCCAGUGCUAUUGUGCUGGGAGUCUUCGGGUGGCUUUGCAGCUGAGCAAUAGCCAGCUAUUGUGCCUGCAACAUUUCAAAAAUAACAUGAAGGCUAACUUCCCAUUCUUCCCGAGCUGGGGUUUUUGGGCUUCCUGUUGGUCGCCUUGUUGUAUGCUUCUGUUGGUGUGUGAGGUUUUGUCGACUCGCUAUGCAUCUUGCGAACCCGCAUCCGCUAGAAUUGGUCCAGGUGCAUUGUUGAGGUUCUGUGGUGGCGCACCAACGAUUGGAACAACCAUACCAUUUUCUCCGUGGUUUUCAAGGUUGUUGUUCUCAACUCUGUUUACUGAGCCAGACAUUUUAACCUGAAAUCGAAGAUCUUCGACAAGAAAAUGUGUGAAAGAUUACUUGCGUUGUGUGACAAAACCAGCAAGAAAAUAAUUUCUAUUAAUUUUAGCCCCACUGUGGGCGCCAAACUAUUUAUCGAGAAAAUGGUAAUAACAAUUAAAUUUAUUGAUAGGACUCUAAAAAUACGUGAUCUAUUUUUAUGCUAGUUGUUAAGCAGUUGAUGCUAGGUAUGUGAAGUUUAAAGAUGAGAUACGAGCUAAAGUAGAGUUAUAACCAAUCCGAGGGGUUAGCUAUUCGGGCCUCGGACUGACCGGUGAGGGGCCUCGAGGUCGAUGCCUAGGCUCGGGCUCGAGCUAUCGGGGAUAAUCGGGAAAGGGCUAACAGGUACGAUAUAAUUAAGGGAGGCUCUUCAUGCCCAACAACAAGCAAUAAAUGAAGAACAAGUAUGAAGUCCAGAAAUAAGAGCAAGAAUAUCGAAGGAAUAUAUUAGAGAGAAAAGAGAGAAAGAGUUGUUAUUUAUCUUGUGCAGAAUAGUUGGAGCAACAGCAUCCCCUUACAAAAUGGUAAGGAUCCCCUUUAUAUAGGAGGAGAAUCCCAUCAUAGUACAAAAUACAUUAAUUUCAAAGGUAUGGAGAUGGGAUAGCUAGACGUGACACCUUGAGACAAGUUCCGGGCAGGCCGACUUUGUUAGACUUAGUCGCGUGCCUUGGGAAUUCCCCAUUUUUAUUCUAACCUCAAUCGACAUUCCCUUUAGGUUGGGCCUCGAUGAGCUCCGAGGGAGGGAACUCGGUCACAGCUUCGCGUCCUCGAGGUCUCGAGGUAUUCUUCCGAAAUGAACUAAUAGCAAGAAAUUGGGCCCCCUUAUUUCGCCACAUACAAAACUAAUUAUCAAGAGCAAAUGGAGCAAGCAAAUAGUAAGACAUCAUCAAAACGUAGCAAUGAAGCAUUAACAUUUAACAAAACAGAGCAACAACAAACUAAUAAAAUAACAAAAGCAUGAUAUCAAGAAAAAAACAACAGAAGGAAAGAAGAAAUUGACCUCAAAACGCCAGACGAAACUCGAACCGGAAACCAAUAGACAGUACCUCGACGUACGACUAAAAAGAGCCCCUAGACAACGAUCACCGACGACCUCGAAGCUCUCCGAGAAACUCAAACUAAACCUGGACGAAACUGAACUCCGGCUGGGUUUGAUGUUGUUUUUCGCUAUUUUUUUUAGAUGAGUUUUGGAUUGAAACAGUAGUAUGUUGGAGAUUGUUUGGCUAGAAUUUUGGUAUGAAGGAAUGGGCUAUUUAAGGGUGCUAAAAGGACAGUGUUACAACUAUGUUUCCAUAGCUUUUCAGAGCUAAAAUACUUACUGUUUUUGCCAUUCCUCCUCUUACUUCUCUUUGUGCGUGUGUCUUUAGGUCAGUGGCUGUUUGUGAUGAAAUCACGGUAGAGAGGAAGCAAUUUUAUGAUGUGAAUUACUCCCUGCUACGGCGCUGCUCAAUGAACUCCUAUCCCUUAUGUUUUUCCCCUUUUUCUUGCUCUCGUUUUUUUCCUUAAUUUCUAGCCCUCCCAUUUUUUAAUCUUGGAGAAGAUGAACUGAUUAGUUCUCUAUUAAUCUUAUUCUUUUAUUUCUCUAAUUUGAUAGCUUGGAACUGAAGCAGAAGGGACAAUGGGUUGCAGUGAUCUUUUUGUGGGGGGUCCUUGUUGCUAGGUCUCUUUAUCCUUUUCUUCUUCUUUUU
RNAcentral lists this long non-coding RNA (11442 nucleotides) under Nicotiana tabacum (common tobacco). RNAcentral's name for it is "long non-coding RNA (NTAB_LNC010036)". Lineage: Eukaryota; Viridiplantae; Streptophyta; Magnoliopsida; Solanales; Solanaceae. The record is from RNAcentral.